RNAcentral lists this ribosomal RNA (305 nucleotides) under uncultured bacterium. RNAcentral's name for it is "bacterial SSU rRNA". It matches the Rfam family "Bacterial small subunit ribosomal RNA", at positions 333 to 635 of the family's 1533-position model. The record is from RNAcentral.
CUGGUCCUACGGGACGCAGCAGUGAGGAAUAUUGGUCAAUGGGCGCGAGCCUGAACCAGCCAAGUCGCGUGAGGGAUGACGGCCCUACGGGUUGUAAACCUCUUUUGUCGGGGAGCAAAUUCCGUUACGUGUAACGGAGUCGAGAGUACCCGAAGAAAAAGCAUCGGCUAACUCCGUGCCAGCAGCCGCGGUAAUACGGAGGAUGCGAGCGUUAUCCGGAUUUAUUGGGUUUAAAGGGUGCGUAGGCGGAUUUUUAAGUCAGCGGUAAAAUGUCCGGGCUCAACCCGGGCCGGCCGUUGAAACUG